AUUCCUUUCUAUUCUAGCCACUAAUCCGUCUUCUCUGGCGGCCAUCAGCUGGUUCCCUUGCUGGCUCCGCUGGCUCUGGACUGGAGAGCAUACAGACGCCUGUCUCCUCGCCAUCCUCGGCCCAGUAAGAGCUCUCUCCUUGCAGAUCCCAGUUCCUUUCGCCAUCGAUGUGAAUCGCUCGCUCAUUGUUCCGGGUUGACCUCUGCAAUUUUUGCAUUGGUCCCGGUGAAAUAUUGUGUCGCUUCGUGUGGCCGCUCCUAGAAUUUCAUCGAUCUGGUCUCCCUUGUGGCCGUAUGUACUGCGAUUCUGGUAACUCAGACCGGCGGAAAAUCCUCACCCUUGUGGGACUAGUAAUGCUUUAUGUACUCCGCUAGUGCCAAGAACCAGGCAAUAGGUUUUAGAACCGUGCAGCAGCUUGUUGCACACCACGGCCCACUACAAUUCUUUCUGUAACUACUUGAAAUCUAGUCUGCAUUAUCAGAAAUGGUAAAACUGAGACUGUGAUGGAAUCGUUUUAAUCAUUAAUAUUUGAUGCAAAAUCACUGACUUAUGGUCAGUAAGUACCAUGUUGAGGGAAACAUUAAAGAAUCUUAAUGUGUGAAGGAAGCUAGACUUGGUUCCAAACCGAUUUGUCGAAAGGGUAGAGAAAGCAUAAUAGUUAGUUAGUACUAAUAUGAAUAACGAGGUCGCUCCACUUCUUUUUGGAUGGAGUGAUUCCUCAAACCAAACACUAGGUGUAAUCCCAUCUCCAGACGCUUGUUGCACAUGCUGCAGUUUUCUGGAUACGGACAUCCUGUCAAUUGUGAGUCGUCCGCCAUGAGAAUUUUGUUCUGCAUGAGAAUCCAGGUGAAAACUCAGCAUUUAUUUUCUGUAUAUGCUUUCCAGAUUUGGCUCGUUCUGUAUGUCCCAUAUGAUCCUUCGAACUGAACCCGGUUAGCCAAGCGAUUGGAGUGUGGACCAUUGGCUGUCCACUUCCACACUUUGGAAUCUUGCAUCUUGGGCUUUAGUUGUAUGUUCUGAAUCCUAACAGAAUGAGACGAGUUCUUCCACGUGUGUGGUUGUUGUGGCGUUGUCAAGAAUUGAUUGGAUCCAAGCAUUGUUGUGGAGCUGCUGAUGGACCAUUUUAUUUUCCCUUUUUGCAAACUUGAAUAGAGUUGUGCCAGGUUUCUAGCCUUCUAGGGGCCUCACCAUCGAGCCAAUUAUGGUGCCAGAACCGCACUUUCUUCCCAUUUCCAACCAUGAUUACGGUGGUGGUACUGAAGAGAAGCUGGUCUAACUUGUUGCAGGCAACCUCGAUUCCUGCCCAAGGCUUGGUUUGGUCCAACCAAUCUUGUUGUGAUUGUAACCACUGUAGUCGGAGGGCUCUGCCAAAUUUAUCCAGGUCUGUUAUUCCUAGACCUCCAAUCUCCUUUGGCCUGGUCAGGUUCAAUAUUUAAUACGGGUAGAAAAUGAAUGGUGAAUGUUCUUGAAUAAUUUUAAUCAGAUUCAUAUAUGAGUAUAUCACAUUGUACAGAUGGGAGCCACUUAAUGCUUAGUAGAACCAUCAGGUACCCUCUUUGUAGUUCAAGUGAACUGGGUAACACAAAUCUAGAAUAGUGGUGCUCUACAUGUCAGCAUGAUGCCUUUGGUUAUGCAUUGUACCAGAUAGAUGCUAAAUCACAAGCUUUUAGUUUUGCAGCAUCUUCUUGCUGUCAGUGACCACCAUUUGGUUUUGUUGUAAUGCCUAUAGCAUGGCCUUCUGCAAUCAUUCCCUCAAGUAUCCAACCUUUUUAUCAGAUGGAUAAUGACACAUAUGUCUCGUUUGGUUGCCAUAUACCUCUAGCCUAGCCUGUAUUAGGCCAGAUUGUGUGGAUACAUACAGUAGCAGUUUGUUUUGUUGUAUGUCUUAAUUAAGAGUGGCCAUUAUGUAUCCUACCUCUUUAGAACAUGGAUAAGGAAACAUGUUUCAUUUUGUUGCCAUACACCUCUAAUCUAUCCUGUAUAGGCGAGACCGUGUGGAUGCAGUUGCAGUUUGCUUCAUUAGCUGAAUUAAUUAAGAAUGGUCAUAAAGGAUGGUUUUUUUUGCCCGUAUAAAUACAUGCUGCAUGAUAUGAAGGUUGAAACCAUGUGUAACUUAGUAUAUUGUUUGUAAAGACACUGACCAUUAGUUUAUGGGAUAUUUCAUCCCCGUUGAGGUAUCAUCAUAGCCAAGAUCCACUUCCUCUGCUUGACAUGUCAUGGCUGUAGAGAGAAAAUGUGAGUGACAAGAGUAAAGGACAUUCAUAUUAUGCCAUCGCUCUUCAUAUGUUAAUUGUAGAAUUUCUGGAGGAACUUAACUUACCUAUCAUUUUGAUGCCUCGACUUCUGGAUGGGGCUAAGUAUUUUAACUGGCUCAGCUGUCAGCCUACUAAUGUGCUUCUGCAGUUCUUUCCCUAGAUUAUGCUGACAAUAUGACUGGAGAAUAAACCCCUGUAAAUGGUAUAAUCUGAAUAAUGAUUUUGGGAUACUGGUGAAUAUCUUGCUUUCACUUAUGUCGAGAUACCUAAGGUGGACUAGAUGUUCAAUAUUAUCUGGCAGAAUACCAUCUGGAUGUUGUAGUACGAGCACACGUAAGCUCCUUAGAUCAUGCAGCGUUUCUUUAAGAACAUCGUUGAAGUUAUCUGGAGGGAUUCUUUCUCCAGGAGCAUGGUGCUUGCAUAUUAUUAGGCUCCUUAGAUUUUUCUUCAAAUCCGGGGAUUCUGCCAAUCCCUCCUGGGAUUCAACCAAACUCAUGCACACCUUAGAAAUAUUGCUUGCAUUGACAUAUAGGUGCCGCACAUUUCUUGGAAUACUAACAUGAAAAUCAUCUUCAAUUCGAAAGUGUUCUCCAUUGGAGAUUGAUUCUGCCAAAUCAUGUAGCAAGUCAUGAACAACAUAAUGGUUAUCUAGAUUGGCUGCUUUCUUAAUGAAUGAAAGCUGUAAGAGAUCAUUAAUAUAACGAUAUGCAUUUUCAUCUGAUGUUUCCUUUUGAAUGUAACCAUGGGCUCGCCACAUCUGUAUGAGCACAUCAUCCCGAUGUUGGUAGUUCUUAGGAAACAAUGCAAAGUAAACAAAGCACUGCUUCAAGUGAUCUGGAAGAUGCUCAUAGCUCAAUCGUAAUGCUGGCAUAAUAUCAUCUGCUGUCUGUUCAAUCUGCCACAAUUUGAGCUGAAGGACAGCCUUCCAGUGGUCUUCCUGUAGCUUCAGUUUCAGUUCAGCUCCUACCGUCUUAGCUGCUAGUGGUGAACCAGCCAAUUUCAUUGCCAAUUGUUCACCAAUUUGCACCAAUCUUGGAAAAUCUGACGGUGUUGCGUUGUCAAACGCGCAUUGCUGGAAAUGAUCCAAAUACUCUUUGCCUUUCAACCCAUCUAAAUGUAUUAUCUCUGUUGCUCCAUUUAUCUUUGCAACCUUUUCACUUCGAGUAGUAAGCACCACUUUGCUGCCCAUACUAGCAAACUGGAGGGGCUUGCACAAUGUUUCCCAUUUGCUGCUCAUUUCGUUCCAAACAUCAUCGAGUACUACCAAAACCUUGCUCCCAUUUAGCUUUUUCUCAAGUAUUCUCUGAACUAGAUCUAAGUUACUGAUGCUGUUCAAGUCAGCUGAUAUGGAGCCAUCCCAUGAAACCCUGCUGGUUCCACCUCUUUUCCUUUUAUGCCUACGGCAUUUCUGUGACUGUACCAUCUCUUUUGUGAGGCGUUUGACACCAAAUUUUUCUGAGACAUAGAGCCAUGCCAUGAUGUCAAAAUGUCCUAUAUCACGAAAAUGGCUGUAUACCCUCUGCAGUAGCGCAGUUUUACCAACGCCGGCGACUCCAACUAUUGCUAUUACAGAAUAUGGUUUUCUGCACCAAUCAUUUGUCUGUUCUAGUAAUUUCUUUAGCUGUGUUUCUUCAUCGCCUCUACCGAUCAAUCUUGUGGUACCUAGCAUAGAGGUUGUUCUGCGCCACUGAAGUGCCUUUCCUGGCUUCUUAUUCCUUGGGUUAACAAGCUCUAAGAAUGUUUGCAUCUCACUAGAAAUCUUAUCAAACUUUUCCAAAAUUGCAAUUAACUUAUUAAGGUCUUCAUCAGAAAAAAGGACACGCUUCAGAACACGAACUGACCGUUUUACUGUUGAGCUGCUGCUGGUAGAGGCAGUGGUGUUGGUUGUUGCGGAGGAUGAAGAGUUAACAGUAGCAUAAUCAGAUGACUCGGCCAGCACCUUUUCUAUGUCUUCAGCUUUUGCUUCAAAAAAGCGAUAGUCAAAUAAAUCAAGAACAUCCACAGCCUGGUAAGCAGCAUCUUUUAUACUCCCUUGCCAACUUUUCAUACUGGGAUCUUUGGUUUGCAAGCUUGAAGCUUUGUCCAGCACGAAUGGUAUCUUCCAGAGAUUAUUCUUGAGCUUGGUUAGUUUAUCCUUUGCAUCAUCCCUUUGGUAUUCAUACUGGUCUUCUAGGUAAGAGCACACUUUGCUAACCAUCUUGGCGAUGCAGGCUGAUGCCAUCCAUUCUCCUAUUGCUACAGGAGCCAUAGGCAACUCCAAUGCCAAUUUCAGGAUUAGUCGUUGUAGAAGGAAAUGGAUAUUGAGUUGAGAAACCUGGUUCUUUAAAUUGGAGUUACGAAGAAAGAUUAUAGAGUAAAAAGCAAGUAUUGUUCUCAGAAACUACCCCGAGUUGCAUCGUCCUAGAUCCACAACCUAGUUUAGUUAAACGUCACUUGUGUUGCUUUGUUAUUAUCAUUUUAUUUGUUGUUUAGCAACUCUAUUAGUUGUUUCCGCCACCAAUCUCUGUUGGUUUACUCCGCUGAAACUAUUGAUGUCGACCUGUUCUGUGAUACUUCAAUGUUGGAUCCACGUAUCUAUUGAUGUUAACCUGUUCUGAAUACUUGGCUGUUGGCUCCACUUAUUCGGGUUCAUCUCUUGGUAAUAGGGCCUUAGAGCAACUCCAAUAGUUAUGUAAAUUUUAGCUCUCUAAAUUACAUAUUUUAAAAGUUGCUAAACAACUUUGGGAGUAAAAAAAUGUGAGCUCUCCAAUAGUUCUCUAAAUAUAGGUUGUAAUUUUGUUUUGUAUCUAUUUACGUCAAAAAAAUAAGUUAGAAAUGUCACCAAUUACCUUCAUUAACUACAUAACGUAGUCAACAUUUUUGUUUAGGGAAUUGCUAAAUGGUUGCCAAAUGUAAAGAGGAAAUGAGGUAAGAUGAUGAGUUGCUAAAUUUAGAAAGUUAAUUUAGAGAACUGUUGGAUAUAAGUUUUUAUAUUAACUACCUAAAUUAUUGAUUUAGGAAGUCUUUUAGAGAACUGCUGGAGUUGCUCUUAUGCAAUUCUAUCUCUUAAUUGAAAGGCAAGGUUGUUGGUUGUUUCCUUUAUAAACUGGAUCAGUUCUAUCCCUUCUUAAUUGAAAGGCAAGGUUGUGUCAUAGGAUUAACAAAAAGUAUCCUCUAACCUAACUGGCUACAAAAAGCUUAAUGUGGAUAACCCAAGUGGCUAGAACAAGCUUGCAUAUGUAGCGUGAGGAGUUUUUUUAAUUAGAUAAAUAACCUUGUACCAUCAAAUUAAAAAAAUGGAUCUCAAUCGUUUGUUUUCUGGAAGGAAUUGAAAAGGCUAGAAGUUGCCAUAUAUAUAUAUAUAUAUAUAUAUAUAUAUAUAUAUAUAUAUAUAUAUAUAUAUGGUCAGUGCGUUGCAAUGAAAACAUAUAAUACCAUGAUUAAUUAUUAACAAAUGUGUCUCGAGCUGUUCGGGAUGACAUUGAAGCGAAACUCGGGCUCACGAUCGAGUGUACCGAGCCCGCGCUGCGAGACCGCCCAUCUACAAGGCACACAAGGUGGACGGCAGGGGACAGUCUCGGGGAGGGGGUAAUUUCCGGGUAACUGAAAGCAUUUAGUUGGUUUUAGUGAUUAAUGACAACGUAAUAUUAUAUGUGACUAACGUGUGUUUUGCAGAGGCAAAUGGUAAGUUAGGUCGCAUUAAAGGUAGAUGUACUACAACGGUGAAAACAAUCCCGGAGAUAAGAACUUGAAGCGACGGCUAAAGCGACGAAACAAAAAGUGAAGGUCUUUGUAUUCCGAGUGUCAAGGAGUUGUGGACACUCGUGAUAUAGUUAGGUCUUUUAUUUUGUUUUAGCCGUACUAUAAAGAGGGGUUAUCGAUGAGUAGUUUGACCAAGAGAGUUCUAGUGUAGUGUUGGUGCAUAUUCACAUUCACAUAUAGUGCUAGGUGUCACUCUAGAACAUACUCACAAGUUAGAACGAAAACCGAUUUGAAAAAGCAGAAAAACAGAAAUUAGGGUUUCUGGAUUUGGUACACCGGACUGUCCGGUGCACCCUCUGCCAGUGGGGCCAGCCUGGCCCAGGGAAGAGGGUUCCCUGCGCGCAGAAAUCCGAGAGCGCGCAGUUCACGAGUUGAAUUUUAGUGGCACACCGGACAGUGCACCGGAAUGUCCGGUGCGCACCAGACAAUGACUGUUCACUGUCCAGUGUGCCAUCUGCCCAACGAUUAGCUGUUAGAACUAGCCGUUAGAGUCGACCGUUGGCGCACCGGACUGUCCGGUGCGCCCAUGCGCAGCAGAUUCCUGGUAACGGCUAGUUGGUCGGUGAGGGCUAUUUAUACCCCCUUCACCCACCAUAUUGAUUGUCUUGCUGCCCACAUUUACUCCUACACUUUGGUAGAUUAUUGCAAGCACCACAAAGCCUAGUGAGGUGAUUAGAGAAUUUUAAUCCCGCAUUUGGACCUCAUUAGCGCUAGCGAGAGCCACCUAGAGCACACACCGCUUGCAUUAGGCUUCUCUUGGUCAAGUGAAAGUCUACGACUUGUUACUCUUGGUGAUCGGCAUCACCUAGACGGUUUGGUGGUGUUGGGAGCUCGGUGAUCACCGUGGAGAUCUUGUUGGUGACUCGACUCAAGUUUGGAAGCGGUCGUGAGGGAUCCACUACGCCGGAGUGGCAAAGGAUUAUCUCGUAGUGAGCACUUAGUUCUUGCGAGGACCAAUGGAGAGCGAUACCCUUGCGCGGGUGCUCCAACGAGGACUAGUGAAGAGUGCCGACUCUUCGAUACCUCGGAAAAAAAUUGGAGGAGUCUUCUAAACUUUGCUUUACAUUCCGCACUUGAUUCAAGCAUUUUACAUUGUGUAUUUGUUUAGCAAGUAUUUGAAGUAUUGACUUAGCAUUGUUGUAUUUCUAGUAUUAUUCUCUUAUUGAUAGUUGUCGGGGUGAAGUUGGGCUCUUGCUUAGAUUUUAAUUAGUGUUGAUUUUAAGAAAAGCUCAAUUCACUCCCCCUCUUGGGCAUCGUGAUCCUUUCAUUUGGUAUCAGAGACUUGUUGCUCUUAGAUUAGCUUAACCGCUAGAGUAACGAUGUCCGGUGGGGAUGGAUCUCCUCCCAUUUUUGAUGGUGAUGAUUUUCCAUAUUGGAAAAUUCGUAUGGAAGCUUACUUAGAGGCUAUAGACAUUGGUGUCUACAAAGCCGCCACACAAGGUAUCCCCGAACCUAGAGAUCCUACAAAUCUUUUAGGUGAAGAGUUUAACUAUGAGAAAUUGAAUGCUAAGGCCAAAACACUCUUUUUAGAGGCCUUUGCAAAGAUGUGUUUAAUAGAGUUAGAAACCAUAAAAAUGCUAAUGAUUUGUGGAUGACAUAUGUGCUCUACAUGAAGGAACUAGAAGUGAGCGUGAGAAGAGAUAUCACAUUGCUAUGAGAAAAUUAAAUUCUUUUGAAAUGCUUGCUAAUAAAAAUGCCAAUGCUAUGUACUCACGUCUCAAUAUUCUUGUAGAGGAAGUAAAUGGCUUGAGGCUUACACAAAUUUCACAAUCGGAUGUUGUGAGAAAGAUUAUCAGUGUCCUCCCAAUUGACAAAUAUGGACACAUUGUCACAGUGCUUCAUCAAAUGGAUCUUUCAGUUGCCACUCCUACACAGAUAUUGGAAAGAUCAAUGCUCAUGAGAUGUAUAUGCACAUCAAUGUCAAGGAUGAGUCAUCUUCCAAGAGAAAGGAUUUUGGCUCUUAAAGCAAAUCAAGAAAGAAAAAGACAAGCUAAAGUACAAAUUGAAGAGGAAUACUCAAGUGAUGAUGAUCUUGAUGCUAACAUUGCCUUGAUGGUGAGGAAGACCAUCAAGAUGCUAAAGAAGCUCAACAGAGAAGGCAUCAAAUUUGACUCAAGAAAGAAGAAAUUUUUUUCCAGCAAAAGAAAACCCAUUUCUGAAAUGUAUUGCUACAACUGCGGUGAGCUUGGUUAUCUUGAUCAUCAAUGUAACAAACUCAAGAAAACAAGUUCAAGGGCAAGAAAGAAGAUGACAGUGAUGAUGAGAAAAAGGAAAAGAGAUUUUUAGAGGAAGGAUGGGAAGCACAAGAGGUUCCACAAAAAGAAAAAUGUAAAGGCAUACAUUGUUGAUGACUGACUCACUGACAUUAAGUUAUCAAGUGGAUCUUCUUCAAGUGAAGAAGAAAAUGAUGAAAAAGUUACCGCCAUCGCUGGGGACUAAUCUUUACCACCACCAUCACCAUCAUCGACUUCUCACUUAUGCCUCAUGGCUAGAGGUGAACGAAAGGUACAAAAUAAUAAUGAUAUUAUUGAUGAUAGUGAUAGUGAUAGCGAUGAUGAAUUUGCUUCACCUUCCUAUGAUGAACUAACUGACUUGCUUAAAGAAUACACUCAAAUUAUUAGGAAGUCAAAAGCUAAAUGUGAUAAGUUGAAAGAUGAGAAUGAAUUUUUAAAUGCCAAAUAUGACAUAGUUAUGUGUCAGUACCCUAAAAUAGGGGUACCCCUUACUAUCGUAUGAAGACGCAGUACCCACGCGGCUAUCUUUAGUCACGUGGUAAAGAAGUUAUGCGUGGGACCAGAUCAUGGCUCGCCCCAGCCUCGGGCGACUACUCAAGGCCAGCGGCAGCACCCGACCCCUCCACGUGGACGGUUUCGGGACUGGCACGUGGCAGGAGAAGAUGAUAUACUCCAAGAUAUCAACAGUGAGUCCGGACCCCCAUAGGAAAGUGUUGGACCCCUAUAUAUACAGACCAAGCCUCCGGGUAAGGUCCAGAACCCCAUGGGCGCAAACCGGACCCCUAAGAUGGGGUCCAGACCCCUCUAUGUGGUGUCUGGGCCGCUCACGGCAGGGUCCCGGGAUUCUAGGACAGAGAAUGCCCAGACCUUAAUCAAGGCCAGGCGGGGUUCGGAGCCGACACAUAUCCGGACCUUAUCGUUUACGCUUCUGCUCACCUCCCAGGCGGAGCCCCGAUGCUGCCAUGUGACAUGGUGCACGUGACGUAAGCCAACGGGCCGAGCCUGACGUAAGGCCUCUGGGCUGCGUGGCCUCUGCAUUUAUUGCGGAUAAGGCGCGGCGCCUGUCCAUUCCACUGGCAGGCGGUGUACCGCCUCAGCAUUAUUAAGCCCUGUCCAUUCCACUGGCAGGCGAUGUGCCACCCCCGCAUUUAAUGAGUCCUGUCCAUUCCGCUGAUAGCGAUGUGCCGCCUCCGCAUUUAAUGAGACCUGUCCAUUCCGCUGGCAGGCGGCGACCAGUCCGUUUCGCAAGCGGCGUGCCUGUCCAUUCCAUUGUCAAACGGUACGCCAUACUGCUGCGUGCACUAUGUUCAUCAUCACUCGCACGUUACCAAGGAAGCAGCCGUGGCAUACCAAUACUGAGUGGACUGAGGACAUCGAGGCGCACAAGAGAUUGCACAAGCGUUAGUUACUCCUAUAAUAUAUUCCUUCCGUUAUGUUCCUGGGCCCAUAUAUCAGGGCUCAACAUCCUUGUAUGUGCCUCCCUUGAGCUAUAAAAGGUAAGGCGCACGACGUUACAAGGUAGGUUCACUCAAACUCACAAGUUCAUAUGAGCUCUCAAGCUCACAGACUCAAUACAACACACAGUGAAGUAGGGUAUUACGCUUCGGCGGCCUAAACCACUCUAAAUCCUCGUGUUCAUCGAUCUCCCAAUAGACAGGCAAAACGUUUAGGCCCCUCCUCAUCUUAGGAUUUAGGGCGGGUGCGUUCCGCCACCCAGUCGGAGAAUUUCCUCUCCGACAUUAUGAAACUUAGUGAUGAAAUGAAAAAAGAAAAUAAAACUAUGUUAUCCACUGUAAAUGAGCUUACAUCCUCCCUAAAAGAUGCUAAGGAUAAAUGUGACAAGUUAAAUGAAUCUAAUAGGGAGUUGAAAGAUAGACUAGUGAAAAUUAAGGAAGACUAUACUAAGAUUAAAUUUGAUCAUGAUAAUUUUCUUGUUGAAAAUGAACUUUUAUCUUGCAAUACACAUGAGGCUAUUAACCCUGUUAAGAUUGAUGUAGCAACCUCAUGUGAUGAUUUGAGUCAAGGUGAUUAAACUAGUCUACAUGAUGAACUGACCAAAAAAGUUGAAGUCUUGACAUUAGACAACCAAAAAUUGAAGAGAUACUUGACUGAUGCAACUAUUAAAGGAAAGGUUGCCAUUGAGAAUAAUGACUUCAACAAUGAGUUGGUAGUGGAUAAUAAAAGGCUUAAAAAUUAGGUCAAGAAACUUAAGAGUGAAAAUGAAUAUCUUGCAACAAGUGUGCAAAAGUUCAAUAAGGGCCAAUACCUCCAAAAUGAAUUGCUCAUAAACACUGUCAUGAAAAAUAAUAAGAGUGGUAUUGGAUGUAAUUAAUUUGUGUAAAAGAAAACUACAACUCAAUACAAGAUAAAGUAGACUCAUAAGCCUAUCAAAUGCUUUGAGUGUGGAAAAAAGGUCAUUUUGCCCACAACUGCAAGGCUAAACCACCAACUCCCUUGCCAAAGCACUCAAGAACAUUUGCCUUCAAUGCUCAUUAUGUUUUAAGAAAAGUAGCAAAUGGAAAAGUCAAAGUUACAUUCCUAGGUCUACCAAGCAAGAGUAGACCUAGACAAAUUUGGGUUGCAAAGUACUUAAUUGAGAAAGUCACUGGUCCUAUGCAAUAUAGGGCCCUCAAAACUCAAGCUUGAUUUGUCUGUGGAUGUAGGUGAACUACAAGACCGGUGGGAGCCAUUGGGUUAUUGACAGUGGAUGCACUCAACAUAUGACAUGCAACCCACGGAUAUUCACCUCACUUGAUGAGAAUGUUGAUGGACAAGACAAAAUCACAUUUGAGGACAAUUCAAAAGGAAAAGUUUAAGGACUUGGCAAUGUGGUAAUUUCAAAUGAUUUAUCAAUUUCAAAUGUUCUCUUGGUUGCACUUUUGAGCUUCAACUUAUUAUCAAUGGGUCAACUCUGUGAUCUUGGACUUCAAAGCUUAUUCACUCCAACAGAGGUUAUUGUAUCAAAAAUGGAUGAUGAAUCAAUGAUGUUCAAAGGAUUUAGAUACAACAAUCUCUACAUAGUGGAUUUCACCUCUGAAGAUGUAGACUUAAGAACUUGUCUCUUUACUAAAGCGUCACUUGGAUGGCUAUGGCAUAGAAGGUUUGCACAUGUUGGAAUGAGCACACUCAAGAAAGUAGUAAAGAAGGACAUGGUUAGAUGACUAAAAGAUGUGUUAUUUGAAAAGGACAAGCCGUGUAGCGCAUGUCAAUCUAGAAAGUAUGUUGCUAACACACAUCCUACAAAAGCUUUCAUGUCAACAUCAAGGCCACUGUAACUACUUCAUAUGGAUUUAUUUGGACCAACAACUUAUGCAAGUGCUGGUGGCAACCUCUACUGUCUGGUGAUAGUUGAUGAUUUCUCAAGAUACACUUGGGUGUUCUUUCUCCAUGAUAAAUUUGAAGUUGCAUUUAUAUUCAAAAAGUUUGCCAAGAAAGCUUAAAAUGAAUUUGGUUGCAAGAUCAAAAAGAUUAGAAGUGAUAAUGGUAAAGAAUUUGACAACACCAACAUACAUGAAUACUAUCAUGAGAUUAGGAUCAAGCAUGAAGUAUCAGCAACAUAUACACCUCAACAAAAUGGACUUGUUGAAAGGAAAAACAGGACCUUGAUCACACUUGCAAGAAUAAUGAUUGAUGAGUAUAACACAUCGGAUAGGUUUUGGGUUGAAGCUGUCAACACUGCAUGUUAUGCAUCAAACAGGCUAUUUCCUCACCGGCUACUUGCAAAGACUCCCUAUGAACUGCUAAAUGGGAAAAAGCCAGACGUCUCCUUCUUUCGGGUGUUUGGAUGCAAAUGCUACAUCUACAAGAAACACCAUCACUUAAGGAAGUUUCAGAGACGUUGUGAUAUUGGUUUUCUACUGGGUUAUUCAUCAAAGUCGAAAGCAUAUCGAGUAUUCAAUCAUGCCACUUGCGUGGUAGAAGAAACAUAUGAUGUGGAGUUUUAUUAGACUAAUGGCUCCCAAGGAGCACUUGAAAAUCUUGAUGAUGUAGGUGAUGAUCCAUUUAGGGAAGCCAUGAAGAAUAUGCCAAUUGAAGCCAUCAAACCAAAAGAAGAUGAAGAAGAGGUGCAAAACAUUGACAUACCUUUUUCAUCAAGUGUACCAUAAGAUGAUGAAAAAUAUGAGAGGUAUGCAAAUAAAGAUACAUUUGUCUCUCAUAAACAAGCAAGGGUACAAGCCGAAGAUGUUGAUGCUCCAGGAUCUUCUUUCCAAGUGGUUGACAGAAGAAACUCAUCACUACUUCAAGCACACCCACAAGACCAAAUCAUUAGGAGUCCUUCACAAGUGGUUAUUACUCGAUCACAUAAACAUGCUUAUUUUAUUGAACAUCACUCCUUUGUUUCUUGUGUUGAGCCUACAUGUAUAGCUGAGGUGCUACAGGAUCCGGACUGAGUGAACGCCAUGCAUGAAGGACUAAACAACUUCACCCGUAACCAAGUUUGGACCCUGGAGAAGCCCCACAAGAUGCAAGGGUCAUUGGAACAAAGUGGGUGUUUAGAAACAAAUAAGAUGAUCAAGGCGUGAUUGUGAGGAACAAGGCAAUACUUGUUGCAAAGGGCUUCUCGCAAGUUGAAGGCUUAGAUUUUGGAGAGACCUUUGCACCGGUUGCUCGACUUGAAGUCAUCUGUAUCCUAUUCACAUAUGCAUCAUGCUAUGAUAUAAAGAUUUAUCAAAUGGAUGUAAAAAGUGCAUUUUUAAAUGGCUUCAUAAAUGAACUUGUAUAUGUUGAGCAACCACCCAAGUUUGAAGACCCUCGAUAUCCUAACCAUACUUACAGGUUGUCCAAGGCGCAAUAUGGGUUAAAGAAAGCUCCAAGGGCUUGGUAUGAACAUCUUCGCGACUUCGUCAUCGAAAAGGGCUUCAAGAUCGGGACCAUCGACACAACUCUAUUCACAAAGAAACAUAACGGUGAUAUUUUCAUUUGUCAAGUAUAUGUUGAUGACAUAAUCUUUGACUCGAUAAAUGAUUAUCAUUGCAAGGAAUUUGGUAAGUUGAUGUUGAAGGAGUUCGAGAUGUCUAUGAUUGGUGAGCUGACGUACUUCCUCAGCUUUCAAGUCAAGCAAAUGAAAGAUGAUAACUUCCUUUCACAAGAGAAGUAUACCAAAGACUUGUUGAAAAGGUUCAAUAUGGAGAAGUGCAAACCAAUCAAGACACAUGUGCCAACAAAUGGACAUCUCGACUUAGAUGAGGGAGGUAAUUCGGUUGAUCAAACUCUCUACCGUUCUAUGAUUGGUAGUUUACUGUAUCUUACCACAUCUAGACCCGAUAUCAUGUUUAAUGUCUCUAUGUGUGCUAGAUUUCAAUCAAAUCCUAAGAAAGCUCAUCUUCGCACUGUUAAAAAAAUUCUUAGGUUUCUCUAGCACACCCCAAGCGUUGGCCUUUGGUAUCCCAAAGGAGUUACUUUUGACUUAAUUGGCUAUUCCGAUUCGGAUUAUGCCGGUUGCAAAAUCGAUAGGAAAAGUACUUCUGGGGUGCCAUUUGCUUGGGAGAUCUCUAGUAUCAUGUACAUCCAAAAAACAAAAUAGUGUUGCCUUGUCAACCGUCGAAGCGGAAUACAUUGCCGCGGGUGCUUGUUGCACACAGAUUUUAUACAUGAAAUAAACUCUUCUAGACUAUGGUGUAGUUCUAGAAAAGGUACCUCUGUUGUGUGACAAUGAGAGUGCUGUUAAAAUUGCUAAUAAUCCUGUACAACGCUCUCGCACUAAGCACAUUGAUAUCCGUCAUCACUUCCUUAGAGAUCAUGUUGCUAAAGGAGACAUAAUUUUAGAAGGAGUGAGGUCGGAAGAUCAAUUAGCGGAUAUUUUCACUAAGCCACUUGAUAAAACCCGCUUUUGCAUGUUGAGGAAUGAAUUAAACAUACUUGAUCUUAGAAAUUUUAUUUAAAGAUCUCAAAUGGUGUUGUCAAGCUUGCAUUGCAUAUUUAAAUUUCUUGUAUUGCAUCUAGUGCUUGUCUAACCUAGUUAAGAUAACCGCCAACAAAGCGAGUGAAAAAGAUUAACUCGGGCUCAAACUUGACAAGUCUUCGUUUUAAGCUUUUAGUACUUAAAUUCCUACUUACUAUGCAAUUGUUGGUUCUUGAGAUAUGCAUGAGGCACUACACUUAGGGGGAGUAUUCAAAACUCAAAUCGUUCAUGAAAACCCCUAGCGCAAAGCCAAAAUGCAAAUCUCACCAUUUGCCUAUUUUCUCUAAAAAUUAUCUAGGAUAUGGCAAAAUAUUUUGAAAAUUAUGGAAAAAUAUAUGAGGGUGCCAAUACCUGUCCCAACAGGUGUUCUUUUGUGUGAUUAUAAGUUGGGAUUUGGUUUGGUUAGAAUUUAGAUAAAAAAUUUGAAAAAUGUCAAAAUUCCCUCUGUCUGGGUUCACCGGACAGUCUGGUGUGCACCGGACACUGCACUGUGCACCGGCCGCGCGCGCGCAGAUCCCCUUUCUGUUGUGCGCUAUCCGGUGGUUCACCGGACAACUACUGUGCGCUGUCUAGUGUGCACCGGACAGGCACUGUAGACUGUCCGGUGCGCCCAUAAUGCGUUUUAAAAAACGGCCUCCAGCCCGAGCCCGAGCCCGAGGCCAUCUAUUUCCCCUCAACUCCCUGGCUCCCUUCUCUCUGGCGAUUUCUCCUCUGCUCACCGACGGCGAUCGCCGGCGGCCGUUCUCCGGUGGUCCUCUCCUGCUCGGCCUCCUCACCUCUUCUCCCCUGGUGAGCCUCACUACCCCUCUCUCUCUCUCUUUCAGUCUGCAGUGAAGUUUCCCCCCAUCUGUUUGGCUCCAAAUCAAAUCCUUGUGCCACUCUUGUAAAAUCAACUGAUCCAAGUGCAUUUGUGUAUCCCUGUGUAUCCCUUGAGCUACCUUGCAGGUUCAUCUCUCCUUUUUUGGAGGAUUUAAACCCUAAAAUGGUCGUUCCCCUCUAAACCUAAAACCACGCACGCCACGUGCUAGGUGAAAUGCCUAAACCAGCCAAAAUUGCUCCAAUUGAACCCAAUUUUUUCAGGCACCUUCCUAACCCCUCUAGUAACAAAUUCGUCAAAUCUCACGCCAAUCCGAUAUCCCAGGCUUCAAUUUUCGACAAAUUCCCCUUUAUAGCCAUUGAUUCCGAGUCGAGUGCCCAAAUUCCACUUUCUUCGCCUAAAAUCAAACCAAGCGCACACUUCACUCAUAUUUACCCAUAUAAACCUAUUCGUGAAGUAUCAACUCAAUUCCAAGUCAUUUCAUGCCUCAUUUCCAAUUUAAAACCUCCUAUGGCACUAUUCCUCAUUCACGCCGUUUUCGCGUCGUUUGACCUCUCGAUCGCCAAAUCUCUCGAUUUCUGUUUCAUAACGGUUUGUGUAUGUAUUUAUUCACAUUUCAUGUACUUAUGACUAUGUGACUAAUACGUGGUCACCUCUUCUGUCAUUUCAGUGACCUCGACUGCCCGUGAGCCAUCUCCUAUCCUGCCUGGAUUCUCUCCCUCUCUCGUGAGAUUUCUAGGUAAUUAUCCUUUCUUUUGUCAUCCUAUCCGCUGCUAUCUUCUCGUGCUUAGUUUUUCUCUCUCAUAUGUAGUCUUCAGGUCAGGAUGAUGCGCACGAAGAAUGUGUCAGUGCUAGGGGGAGGAGACGACGAGGACCCUCCUCGCCCCUUCAGGCAGGUCAAGGGAAAUACCGUUUAUUUGGAGCAGCAGGAAGGCCGCAAGAAGCGGUGUUUGGAUAGAGCAGCCCGAGCAGCUCUAGCAGCAGCAGUAGCCGCUGAGCAGGCAGAGAGAGGUGGUCAGCUGCAGAUAUCUUUAGAUCAGAUUGCUUACAGAAUUCGUCGACUCGCCUCUCGGCCUCGCUCCUUCGCACCUUCUACUCCCGCCACUGCUACCACUCCACCUCCCACUUCGCCCGCUCCAGUCACUUCUGCGCCAUCCACCACCCAGCCACAGCUACCACCUCCACCACUUCUGCUUCCACUGCUCCUCCCGCUCCCCUUUCUGCUCCACCCAUCCCUCCUGCCCGCUUCCGAGAGCGAGAUGAGACCGAGGUGCGACCACUGGCUGCCGAUCCUAGAUUGAUCGAUCUUGAGCGUGCUACAGCGACCUGAGUACGUCGGUUCAGACACGUACCCGUGGAGACUUGGCUACUUGCACAGAGAGACCCUCCAGCAGCAGAUCUUUUCAGCACCAGGAUCCAGGAGUCUUUCUUUCGGGCACAGAUGUCAGCCCAGAUUGCUCUGCGAGCGCACCGGCUAUUGGAUCUCCCAGCGUUUCUGCUAGCCGCCGGUGCAGACUCUGAGGUGCAUCUCUCAUAUUUGCCUGGACUUCUUACUCUUCUGACUACCAGCGAUAGAUAUGUUGAGGAGUGGGUCCGAGUGUUCUAUGCGUCAGUAUGGAUCAACCCUGAUCACCAGUGGAUGAGGUUCCGCUUUGAGCGAGAGGAUGCUACACUUCAUGUUAGCCAGAUUCGCCAGCUAUUUGGAUUCACCGAGUCAUCGACUCGCCUUCACAGCUUGUGCUACGGUACCUCUGAUCCUCCUCGUCGCCCUCACGGCGGAGUUGCUCCUGCUACAGCUCUCGUCGCGGCUUUGUUCCAACCGGCCUUCUCAGAUGGGUCGUGACGCUCUCCGGCAGAUUUCACUACAGCGGACAAGUAUCUAUAUCAGCUUAUGAGACGGAUGCUACUGCCCUGGAUGGGUUAUAGGGAGGCCACCACUCAUAUCCAUCUCUGGCUACUUGGUGCCCUGAUCUCGCACUUAGAGUUUGAUGUUGUUGACUUCCUUAUAUGUGAGAUCGAGGACACAAUAUUGGAUGGUCUUCGUGCCCGGCGUCAGCUGCCGUAUGCUCACUAUCUCUGCUACAUCUUCGCGCAACUGAUCUAGCCACCGCAGUUCCAGGGCACUCUUGAGGCCUCGCGCCUCCACUUUGGCUCCUACCGUCCAGCCCCUGAGGAACUAGUGCCGACACCUGAUCCAGUAAUUGACACUCAGGCAGAGGAUGCAACCUUUCAUCAGUUUGAGACUCAGGGCACAACAGUUCCUGACGAUGAUGAUGAUGAUUUUGGGAUUCCGCCUCCGCCUCUUGUGCCUCCGCCCUCAGAUGAUCAUGAGGCCGGGAGUUCUAGUGUUGUUCCUGCUGCCCCUCCUGCGUUUGACCCUGCUCUAGCUGUGAUCCUUCAGGCUCUUAUACAGCAGCAGACUCUUAUGGCAUCCGAGCAGGCUCGACUGGCGUUCGAGCAGGCUCGACAGGCAGUUGAGCAGGUGAUAUGCACACGCCUAGGCAGCACGUGUAGCAAGUUGUUGUGGCCUGAUCUUCUCGUAGGAUCUGCGAACUUGAUAAAUUGUUGUUGCGUGACCUGGUGAAGAGGCAGCGCAUCGCGAGGCUGUCCACUCGACGAACAACCGAGACAAUCACCCUUCCAUGUAUCGACAAAAUAGCCCACGCAAUCACGCCCUAUAGACGUGAAUGCACGAACUGGGUGAACCGCAGUUCGACGUUCUACAACUCCCUCAAGAAUCGAAAGAACAAAUGUUGCAAGCCUCUCAAGACUCACGCAUAAACAAAACUCCACGAGUUUGUGUAUUCUGAAUUAAAAAACAUAAGAUAUAUGUCCUUUCAUUGCCUAGUACAAGAUAUAUAUAGAGAUAGGGGCGUUCAGCUUUGAUUAAAUGGUUGCAUGCGCAUGCUCUAGUGGAUUUAGUGGCCGGUUCGCGCGUCUUUUCAGCUUCUGGCAGCAGUUACUAAAAUGAGCAUAACUCCUUAUUGGAACGUCCAAAUAAUGAACCGUUUGAUGGGCUGAAAAAUAGACUUGAAGACACUUCCAUCCACUUAUAGAACACCAUCUAACUCCUUGUAUUCUGUCUGUAGUGAUGCUUGGAAUUCGUACCACGUGUCAGUCAUCUAGCUUCUGGUUGCAUUCCCAUGCUAAGGUGAUGAACCACCAUUUUAUUCAUGCACACCAUAGGCUUCUUGGUUCAGAUGUCCAGAGGCUUGAAUCCAUCUUGAUCCCAUGCUGGUUCAUACACUCCAUUCCUGAGGACAUUGAAACAAGAACUCAAAAGCAUAGGCUCAUUCAACAUAGACUGAUUAUUAAAUAUAAGGUUAGCGUUCACCUGAGAAUGAAUUUCCUUCUGCAAUUGUUUAGCUCUACUCCUUGUAAUUGGACCAGCUAUAUCAAGUGGAGUUUCAUUUGAAGAUGAGUGAAUGUUAGGCAUGUCCUCAUUAGCCUCCCCCUCUUGAGAAGGAGUCGUCCUCAACUCAGGCUCACCAACAAUUGGAAGCAAGUCUUUGACAUUGAAUGUUGUACUCACAUUGGAAUAUUCAGGUGGUAGCUCAAUUUUGUAAGCAUUAUCAUUUAUCUUUUGGAGAACCUUGAAUGGACCAUCACCCCGAGGAGAUAACUUACUCUUACGCUGUUGAGGAAAGCGAUCCUUUCGUAGAUGCAACCAUACAAGAUCUUCGGGCUGAAAUGUAACCUUUUUCUUUCCUUUGUUUGUGUGCUUUGCAUAUUGUGCUGAUUUCUUCUCAAUAUUCUUUCUUGUCUCCGCAUGUAACCGCUUGAUAAGGUCUGGUCUUUUUGUGGCAUCCAAGUUAACUUGUUCUAGUAAUGGUAAAGGCAAAAGAUCCAUGGGAGUAUGCGGUUUAAACCUAUAAACUAUUUCAAAUGGACAAGAAUUUGUUGUGGAAUGAACUGCCCUGUUAUAAGCAAAUUCAACAUGCGGAAGGCAGUCUUCCCAAAGCUUUAAAUUCUUUUUCAACACAGCACGCAACAUGGUUGACAAGGUACAGUUGACAACUUCAGUUUGCCCAUCCGUUUGUGGAUGACAAGUGGUUGAAAAUAACAACUUUGUGCCAAGCUUAGCCCAUAAUGUCUUCCAAAUGUAGCUGAGAAAUUUUGUAUCCCGGUCUGAAACAAUAGUCUUUGGAACUCCAUGUAAACGAACAAUCUCCCUGAAAAACAAAUCAGCAACGUGUGAAGCAUCAUCGCUCUUAUGAUAGGGGAUAAAAUGUGCCAUUUUAGAAAAGCGAUCUACAACAACAAAAAUAGAAUCCCUCCCCCUCUGAGACUGAGGUAACCCCAGAACAAAGUCCAUAGAUAUAUCUUCCCAAGGUACAUGUGGAAUAGGUAAUGGAGUAUAUAAACCAUGGGGAUUGAGGCGGGACUUAGCUUUCAAGCAAACGAUGCAGCACCCAGCGUGCCGCUGGACAUCACGUCGCAUGUGUGGCCAAAAGAAAUGAUCGGAGAGCAUGUACAAUGUAUUUUUGACACCAAAAUGACGAGCUAGUCCACCUUCAUGUGCUUCCUGCAAAAGAACUGGUCGAAUCGAACAAGCUGGGAUGCAUAUUUUGUUAGUUCGAAAUAAGAAGCCAUCAUGCACAUAAUAUUUAUCCCAACCUUUUCCAUCAAUGCAAUGAGAGAAAGGUUCUUUAAAAUCAGCAUCAGUAGCAUAAAGUGUUUUAAUGAAUUCCAAACCAAGCACUUUUGUAUCUAAUUGUGUAAUCAAUGCACAUCUUCUAGACAAGGCAUCAGCAACAAUGUUAUCUUUACCACGCUUAUGUUUGACAACAUAGGGAAACAUUUCAAUGAACUCAAUCCAUUUAGCAUGUCGACAGUUCAGCUUGCCUUGGCUUUUCAGAUAUUUCAAAGCUUCAUGAUCAGAAUGGAUUACAAAUUCUUUAGGGAACAAGUAAUGUUGCCAAACUUCCAAAACACGAACUAACGCAUAAAGCUCCUUGUCAUAAACUGAGUAAUUCAGAUAUGGACCAUUUAGCUUUUUAGAAAAGUAGGCAACAUGUUUACCUUCUUGCAGCAGUACACCUCCUAUGCCAAUACCACUUGCAUCACAUUCGAUCUCAAAUGUCGUACCGAAAUCAGGAAGUUGUAGCAGCGGUGCUUCACAAAGCUUUGUUUUUAGCUCAUUGAAGGCUUGAUCUUGUUCAUCUCCCCACUUGAAUGGAACAUCCUUCUUUGUCAAAUUAUUGAGGGGUGCAGCGAUCAUGCUGAAAUCUUUAACAAAACGCCUGUAAAAAUCUGCAAGACCAUGAAAGCUUCGAACUUGGCUCACAUUUAACGGUGUAGGCCAAUCCUUUAUUGCUUUAACCUUCUCUUCAUCAACCUGAAUACCAUCUGCGGAAAUAACAAAGCCAAGGAAAACAACACGGUCUGUGCAAAAGGUGCACUUAGCAAUGUUGCCAUACAAUUUCUCUUCCCUCAAAACAACAAGUACUUGAUGGAUAUGAUCAAGAUGUUCAUCAAAUGAUUUGCUAUAGAUCAGAAUAUCAUCAAAAUAAACAACGACAAACUUGCCAAUGAAAGCUCGUAAAACAUGAUUCAUUAAGUGCAUAAAAGUUGAAGGAGCAUUUGUCAAGCCAAAUGGCAUCACAAGCCAUUCAUAGAGGCCAAAUUUAGUUUUAAACGCUAUUUUCCAUUCAUCACCAAGUUUCAUGCGGAUUUGAUGAUAACCACUAUGCAAAUCUAUCUUGGUGAAAAUGAUAGAACCACUCAAUUCAUCUAACAUGUCAUCAAGUCGUGGAAUGGGAUGGCGAUAUCGAACAGUUAUAGCAUUGAUAGCACGACAAUCAACACACAUGCGCCAAGAGCCAUCUUUCUUUGGGACUAAAAGAACGGGAACUGCACAUGGUGAUAAAGAUUCAUGAACAUACCCUUUGUCCAAAAGCUCUUUUACCUGUCGCUGGAUUUCCUUUGUUUCUUCGGGAUUGGUGCGGUAGGCUGGACGAUUUGGAAGCGAAGCACCUGGUACCAAAUCAAUUUGAUGCUCAAUUCCACGGAGUGGAGGAAGUCCAGCUGGUAUCUCAUCUGGAAAAACAUCUUCGAAGUCCUGUAAGAGAUCAAGAACAACACUAGGCAGCGAUGAAGGUAAAUCGUUAGUUGAAAGUAGGACCUCCUUUUGCAAGAGCACAAAGAAUGGGGCUGUGGUGUUUCUCACUUCUCUCAAAUCACUCUUGCUCACAAAGAGACACUCAGUUGGCGUGGCUGUUUAGGAUUGGCAUGAGGCUUUAUGUGGCUGGAUGGUUUAGAACUCUCUCCCUUACUUGGGUUGGGGGUCUCACUCAAUUUUCUUUUGUCUGAUUCCUCUCUUUUCUUGCGAGCCAUAUCUGAAGUAUGUAUCUCCUCUGAGAUAAUGGAACAAGAACCACCUUCUUGUCAUUGUGAAUGAAAGUGUAUUUGUUAGACCGUCCAAAAUGCACCGAGUCCACAUCAAAUUGCCAGGGCCGACCAAGCAGCAAAUGGCAUGCUUGCAUGGGGACAAUAUCACAAUCCACCUCUCCAUGAUAAUCACCAAUGGAAAAUGACAAACGAAUCAUGGGUGAAACCUUAACUGUCCCAGAAUUAUUCAGCCAUUGCAUAUGGUACGGAUGUGGAUGGCGACGUGGCUGCAAACCAAGCUUCUCAACAAGCAAAGCACUAAUAAUAUUAUUGCAGCUCCCACCAUCUAUGAUGAAAUGGCACACUUGGCCUUGCACUUUGCAUCGGGACUGAAAUAAAUUAUGUCGUUGUCCUUGUUCAGCUACAACAAACUGAGUGGAAAGAACUCUCCUAACCACCAAAGAAGGAGAUGGUGUAUUCAUUGUAGAAGGCUCGAAAUCAGGAAAAUCAGCAAGCAACUCAUCAAAAUCAGCACUAGUAAUCUUGUCAGAAGAUGGAGAAAUAACAUCUUGUAACAUGUCAUUGUGAGCAAAAGUUGGAAUAGGUUGAAUCGCUAAACAAUUCAGACCUAGCUCAAAUGUACCAUCCUCUGCUUAAUACUCACAAGUGUCAAGAUUAAAAUCUGCAAAUACAUUGGUAAACUCGUCCUCCUCUUCACUUUGUGAAUCAUAAGAACCGCUAGCAAGGGCAAUAAUAGUACGAUGAUUUGGACAUUCAGCUUGUUUAUGCCCAUGACCACCACACUUAAAACACUCAAUCUUGCUUGAUUCGCAUCCACUUGUUUGGAUGAAGCUUUGUUCUCUGCUGUCACAAAGGGUAGGUUUGUUUCCUCAGCCACUGCAGCAACUAUUUUGGCAUCAAAUCUGCAAAAGACAGAUUGGAUUUAAGUAUUUAAAUAAAUGAAAGGAACGCCUUAGGUAAAGCAUGGAAUUAACACUCUGUUUCAAAGUUAUCCUAAACCAAGUACCAUAAGAUUGGUAAUGAUUAACCAUAUAAAAGAAAAAACAAUUUGGGUGGAUAAUCAAAUCUCCAUAUCCCACUUCUUUUAAUCCAGAAGUAGACAUAGGCUGAUCAACAGUGCCGAUUAGAAAGCCAAUACCCAUUCGGGUUAUUAAAUCAUGACCGUCGAUGAGUUGAUGAGCGCAGCGGAUUUUAGUAGGUCGGGGAGCGAUCUGGGCCAUGUAUCGCAGAUCGGACGGUUAGUGGAGCAUAUCGGUUCGGGCGGUUACGAUUUAAUCGUGACUGUUCGUUUUGAUCUGACGGUCUAAAAUCGUGCAUACCUGUGGCAGCCCUCCUAAGUUAUUAGGCCCACAUGCACCAAUCAUUGCCUUGAUAGUCUCAGAUGGCUAUGCAUGUGUACUAGCUAACUUAAUAAGGCUAUCACGAGUUCAACCACUUGAACUCAUCAUCCCAAGGAUCUCCCACCAUACAUGCAUAUUACAGUAAUCACAUUCGAUACACACACUUCGGAGAUAAGAGCGGAAGACUUUACAAACAUUCUUUACCUUUUCAAAACUCAAGUUUUACAUGUUUCGAAAGAGUAAUAUUUAUUACAAGUCCUGAUAUACUCAAAGUGCAUAACUUAUUACAAAAGCAGGAAGGUAGAAACCCUCCAAAGCUUAUACAUAAACCUAGCUAGUCCUCCUCCAGAACUGGAAACGCCCUCCAGCCACAGGAACACUUAGAGUACUCCUCAUCACCUACAACAUGGGUUCGAAAACCCUGAGUACGGAGUGUACUUUCGCAAGUCUUACCCGACUAAGGAAAAAUGACUCUCAAGGAUAUGUUGGUUAAAUAGGAAUUAAGAAAAAAGCUUUAGCAAGAAUCAACUUAGAUACUUUUGCAGAAAUAGCUUACUAAAGUGAGUCCUUACUUUCAAUAUUUUAAUGCCAGAUUAAACAUUAAUAGACUCUGGUUGCAUCUAGUCUAAUUUCACCAUCUCAUCAAUACAACAUCAUUUUUAUUCAUAAUGUUUACAUCCUGACUUAGGUUGCAGGUCAGAGAUCAAGUCUCCACUCUCCGAGGAUAUAACGGCGAUCUAAAUCGAUUUACUCAACUGAGGAUCUCUAACCACACGACAUAUGUUUCUUGUAACUCUUGCAUAUGUCUACCAUUCCCACGGAUCCUCCACUGCAUGAACAGGUCCGCGCCACCCGAGAGCACACCACCACUUUUUUGGCAAUCCUUUGCCAGGAGGGUACGUGCUACUCUUUCCAUCUCUCCACUCCCAGUGCGCGAUUGUAUUUUCAUGUAUGGAAUAGCCGGGUUCAAGCUUACCCUGUCCCAUAUCCAGGGCAUGUGGCCAGUUAAGAUAGUCCUUGAUCAUACAGGCCUACAUACGCAUCCAAUCCUUAAUUAACCUGGGUAGAACAUCACCUGUUCCUAGCCCAAGUCCCGAUUUAAGUACUUCAAUCCUUAGGAUUGUUUGUGUUCCUUAGGAUGAAAAGAGCAUUAUAGGGAACUUUGCAGUAAGAUCCCACCAUGCUCCCAAUGAAAAUAUUCUUGUAGGUAGAAGCCAUCCUUCCUCAGGAUAACCCCUGAGCUAGGCAUUAAUGCAAAAGACAACCUCUAUCCACAAGAUCUAAGCAGGGCUAAGCAUUUUUGUAAAUCAUAUUUUGAUACUUCAUCAGAAGUAUCUAUAAAGGUAUGGAUAUCAAGGUAGGCAAUGCAUCCAAUAGUUUCCAAGCAACUCCUAUAAACUUAAUGCACAUUUCACUAAACUUAAAGUGUAUAAAAAUCUUUUAAAAACACAAGGAAAGGGUAAAUGCACCGGGGCUUGCCUUUGUUGCAGAGAAGGGGUUCCAGAUCCCUCUAUUAAAUACCCAGUUAGAUGGCUCCUCCACUUGAUCAACAGCCACUGGAGUAGACUUCUCCUUCAAACACCACUUCUUCUAGGUGUUCUACAAGUCAAUUACAAAUACAUGUAUGCUUAUGUAAUGAUAUGGAAUGCAAACUUUCACAAGGAGAGAUGGGGAACAUAAAUACUCCUAAAUAAGUACAUGCCAGGUAUACACAUACAUCUACACAACCUAGCACUUAAUAAAAGUGACCAAUUUGAAUUCACUUAGGUAAAGCAGGGAACUAAUCCAACUUAUAUCUCAUCCAAAAGCUUAAAACUUCUUAAGCAACUGCAUUUCUUCCCUAGAUAAACUUAUCUCCUUUCCAAAGCACUACUCACACUUGAUUAGGGAUUAACCAUUUUAUUUUGGGGCUUACAAAGUUUUCAUAGCAAAUGGAUUCCAAACAGCCUCAAAACUUUACCACACCCUCCACUGACCAAAACAAGGUUACUCAAAAAUUUCCAUAAUUUUUGGCAUUGUACCUUUAUUUCGAAAAUCCAAACAGUCCUUCCAAAAGCACCUUUAAUUCACUUAAUAUUUUCUAAUUACUUUAAAAAUUCUAAAACCAACUUUACCAGAGAGCUCUUGAUUUUAGACAUCCAACAAAAUUUGUCUCAUGAUUUUUGGAAUUUUCUACUAUUUUUGGCGCUAUUCACAAGUUCUCUAUAAAAGGAAAAGGCCAAACUUACUUAAUGAGACUUUUUUCACCAUCAUAUGGUCUUCACUUCAUCUAUAAACACCAUAACCAAAAGCUUCAUGGAUUGGCCACAAACAAGGUCCAAAAACAGCCAAACACUGAAUUUUUAGCUGCAGACCACUGUUCACCAUCUAAAACUCCAGAAAUCUGCCAGCUCCACUUUAGCUCACUUUUUCCCUAGUUCCAAACAGCUUCCAGGGUAUGGCCUUCAAUCAAACCUGGUCUCCUAUUAUAGCUCUAUUGCUCUGCUAUAAGAGACCUAAUUUAAUUCCCUACAGGUUAGCCACUAUAAAGGUCCAAACAUGGCUAAAGUUUACUGAAAUUCAGACUUAGCCAAUUAGCUAAGUCUGAAACCCAGAAGUUGAUAACCCACUUUUGAGCAAGCUUUACACUCAGUUCUAUAUAGUUUUUGGGUCAGAUCGCUUACUCAAACUUGUGCUCCAAUAACAGAUCUACAACUUUGUUAUAGUGGCCAUAAGCUAUAACUCUAUGGAUAGAGCAGCAAAGAGCUCCAAAGCUGCAGCAAAACAUACAAAUUCAGACUCUGAAUUUGCACUAAGUCUGAAAUCUGACAGCCCAAUUGUAGACCACUUUUACUCGAAUUUUCAUAUAAUAUCCAACAAAACUAUCUUAAGGAGAUUUGUUCACCAUCAUAUGCGUUUCUCUAUCUUAUGUAGAGCUCAAAACAUGCACAACUCGACUGAGGACACCUUUGAAGUUACCUGGCCAUGGUGAAGUGGGGGAUCAGCAGUUGUGGUCACCACCUAGGGCUUGAUGCACUCGGUUCUGGGUUAGAGCAAAGCUAAGGACUGGGGGAGGGGGUUACACCAGCAAGAAUACACGAAUUUCAUACUCUUUACAGUGGUCUGUAGGUAGAGUUCAGGGCAGGGAGGAAAACUUCACUCGAUUAAGCCUUUUAAACAACUGAACAUGGGACAGAUAUCACUGUACUAGCUCAACAUGCAGUGGAGAUGUGUUCACAGUGUGCCAGCAACACAUAAACUAGCCUACAUGGCUUUCAUGCAUCAGCUUCACUCAGGUUAUAUCCUAGCUCAAACAAGGGAUUGGAUCAGCCCCAUAGCUCAAAAUAUCCCCUAUGUGCAGUGAACAUAGACAAGAAUAAGAGUGGCUAGAAACUCCACCUAUGGCUAAGCACAAAAGGGGGGGGGGUCCACGGUUUGAUAUUUUAGAAGGAGUGAGGCCACUAUAUCCUUUGUUUAUCCGGUUCAUUCCAUUAAAGAGCCAACAACUAAGACUGCACUGCUCAAUACCCAUAAACAGUCCAAAACUUGAUAUUUUCACAAGAGAUGAGAUUUCUAGAUCUUUAACCCUGCACUACAACCUUAUCUCCAUCUAUACCCACACGUGCAAUUCACAAGGAGAUGAAAUUCUUCUUCAGUUACUUAACCACCACUGAAUCCAACUUCAUCAGACCUGCUGCCCCCUUUUCACUCUUCUCUAUUCAGUCUCUAAUAUCUCACAAUUUCACACAGUAACAGAUCACCAUAUUUUAACCAAAGUUCCUCUCUCUAUAUAGCUCCACCACUUUUGCAUAGCAACCCUUGACUAAAAACGUAUAGAACAAAAGAUAUGGUACCUCAAAGUACAUCCAAAGACACUGAAAAUUCAGUUUUAGAAAUCUGAAACGGCACCACACUAAGUCUGACAGUGUUUUGUCACUCAUUUUUCUCCAAAUUAUACACAGUACCAAGCCAAUACUUUGCAUAAGACUUGCUCUCCUUCAAAUGGUCUUUGACUGUACCAUAGAUCUCUUAAUCAAAAUCGCCAUGGAUUAAUUACCACAGAGCUCCAAAGUUAGUUAAACACAACCCUGAAACAGAUUUUCAGUGCACUGAAACAGCCCAUAAUAAGUCUGACAGAGGAUUUUGCAGCAGGCUAUUCUCUAAAUCCCAUACAGUAUCAAGCCCAAUAUUUGCACAAAACCUGUUCAUCUACAUCUGGUCUCUCAUUUUGCUACAGACUCUUCACCCAAAUCGCUUUGGAUAUAUUACCACAAGGCCCCAAAGUUGUGUAAAAACACACAUAUUCAGACUUUAAUAUUAUUAUAAGUCUGAAUCCCAAUACCUGACAGUCCACCCGUUUGGCCACUUUUACUCCCAAAUUUAUGUGGAACCGGGUCCAUCUCACUUUAGCAAACUUGUUCACUUUACUAUGGUCUACAACUUUGCUAUGGAAACUUUAGUCUAAAACCACUUGGAUUGAUCACAAAUGAUCUCCAAAUUUGGCACCAUUUACUGAAUUUCAGUUUUUGUUAACUGAACUGGUUUCAGUCACCAGCAAUUCAACAGCCCAUUUUCAGUCAACGUUUUCUACACUUUUUGUGUAGGAUCAUAUCCAUCACCCUCAAAGACAUUCGUACCCCAACUUAUGCUCUUCAACUCCUCUAUAGAAACCAUAGUUCAAAACCUUAUGGAUUAUGCACCAGGAAGCUCCAAAGUUAGUCACAAUCACUAAAAUUCAGACUUACAUACCAUUCCAAAUCUGAAAACUCAGAAUUCAGCCACCUAGCUGACAGUCCAAAUUUAAGCAGCUGUUACUCCAACUUUUGUAUAGGAUCAUGUCCCUCACCCUUAAAGAAAGUUAUUCAAAAUCAUAUAGUAUUCCUUUUCUCUACAAACAUCACAGCUUAAAACCUUAUAGAAUAGCUGCAAAUAGGCUUCAAAACUGCUAUCAAAAUACUGAAACUCAGUUUCAGUUAUUGUUUCCAAUCUGAAAAUUCAGAAAUACAGCAGCACCACUUGGAACCACUCUUUUUCCUUGGUUCCAAAUGUUUAUAGGGGCAAGUUGUUUAAUAAAGUUUAUACUCUUAUAGUUCCUCUACAAAUUUGAUAUUGUAACCAUUAACCAAAACCUCUUGGAUUCCAAACUACAAUAGCCCAAAGUUUGCUCCAAUUGCUGAAAUUCAGAAUCUGAAUUUCACUAAGUCUGAAAUCUACAAUUUCUGGCAGCUCUAUUUUGGACCACUUUUUCAGCUAUAUAGUUUUAGGGCUAGUACACUUAAUAAGCAUUGUUCUCCAACAUUCACUUUACAAGUUUGUUAUAGUAACUCCUUACCAAAAGUCCAUAGAUCAAAAGUUAUAAGGGUCCAAAAACAGCUAUAUAAACUGUUUUCAGCCCAAUUCAAACUGAACCCAUGCUGAACUUUUGCAAAUUACUCCAAAUUUCUCCACACAACUUGGAAUUUUUCAAAUAUGAAAUUUGUUCACCUUUCCAAGUUCUACAACUUUGGUAUAUGGACUUUUAGCUAAAUUCUUCUAGAUCUUGAAUUCCUCUUUUGGGCUAGUUUUAGGGUUUCAAAUGUGGCUACUGUUUCUUCGAGUGAUUCAUCCCUCUGAUCCCUACACCUAGAGCAAAGUUACUCUCUAGCUCAAUUUUUUACUUGCUUAAGAGAUGACCUACUCCUGUUUAGCUUAAGCUAAGUCCUUAAACUAAACUCUAAACCCAACACACAACAUCACACUUUUGAAAAAGUUUAACCAAGUGAAUGCAUUUUAGGUGUAUCAAGCAGUUAAUGCAAAUGCUUAUGAUGACAUGUCAGAGUUUUAGUUCAUGUAACACCAGGGGUGUUACAAUACCGCUCCAGCCAAGCGCUUUUACAAUUAGAACCCCAAGUUUAAUGAGUAUCAACCCGUCGUCCUGCGCAGUGCGCUAUGGGUCUUAGGAUGAAUUACCCCGAGGUCCCUGUGUUUUCCAGAAAUAGGCGCCCAGUCCAGAGAACAGAAAAACUAGGGAAAUUAAUUUAGAAAUAGAUUUUUAGUAUUAGAUUAAUUGCAAAAACUUGUUUAAUUAGUAGAAAAUUCAUAUGGUCUCCAAAUUGGUCUAUUCUAGUUUCUAAAUUUUUGUAAUAUUAUUGUUUAUCCAUUAGUGCCACUGUUUUGGCAUGAAAGACACAUUAAAAUUUAUCUAUUACUUAAUCUUGUAUUAAAUACGUAAAUCCUUGGGAAAUUCAUAUCUUAAAAUCUAUAACUCUAAAUUUAAUGAUUCCUGUUCCUAAAGUCUUAUUUUAAUGUGUAUAUUAUUAUCAUGUAUUUUGUUUACAUGUUUGGUGUGAUGUUAAUUUUCCCUUUAUAUUAUGUAUGUUUGUACUAUUGCGAGUAGACGAGCAAGUCAUUGAGGAUCCUGGUGCCCAGCAGGUAGAAGUUGCUGAGUAGGAGCUCGUUGAAGGCAAGUUGUGCCCUUGAUCACUUCCUUUUUACCCAGUCAUGUUCUUAUUAAAUAUAAUGAUCUGCAUAGGUUAGUUUUGAUGGGACCCAAUAGGUUACCCUAGAUUUUGACUAUCUUUAUACCUUGUUUCACCACUGGUUUUACUACUGAUUUUUUGGGUAGUACAUGCUAUUGCUUUAUGUGGUUUUGGAUAUAGAGAUAUUCAUUACUCAUGAUUACACUUUUUAUUAUCUGUUUAUUAUUUACUGUUCAUGAUAAGAUCAUUAUGUUAAUGGGAACAUGGAGAACCACCCGAGAAAACAGUGCUACCACAAGGGUUUAAUGGGACGCCCUUGGCUGAUUAACUAGGAAAGCUAGUGGAUGACUACCUUACCCGAAAGGGGCAAGGGCAGUAGGGGAGUGGUCAGUGUAGGGAGGUCCUUGGGUUGAUUUUGCUGCGAUGGCGGUCAGGCGAGGGAUUCCUACACUGGAGCUUCCUAUAAACUGUAGCGGGUUUUCUGAAGCCAGUGGAACUUUGUAAAGGCCUCGUUCUGGUACCCUGCCUCGCUUCCUUGGUAGAGGUGUAUGUGGGGUCUGAUCAACCCCAUGGCAAAUGGGUAACAUGACUUGUGGGUAAAGAUGUGCAACCUCUGUAUAGUGUAAAACUGGUAUACUAGCCAUACUCACAGUCAUGAGCGGCUCGGACACUCACAUGAUUAAUUCAUGGAACUUAAACUCAAUUUGUCAUUUCAUCGCAUUGGGAUUAUUUUAUGAUUACUUUUACUUAUUAUUACUACAGUUUGGUACUUACUUACACUUAGUAACUGCUAAUAAAAUUUUGACCAACUUAUAAAAGCAAUGCUCAGCUUCAGCCUUUAUUACAUUGAUUUGCCUUACACUCCACAUGAACUCCCACCUUUGGUGAGUUCAUGCACACUAUUCCCCACAACUUGUUGAGCGAUGAACAUGUGUCAGCUCACUCUUGCUGUCUCACACCUCCACAGGAGAAGAACAAGUGGUCGAAGAAGAGCCGCCUAACACUGAGGCUAUGUAAUAAGUAUAUUUAUGAUAUUUAUCUCUAUGCACUCUAUUAUAUGUGUUGUUUUCUCUGGCGCAUAUAUGAGAUGCACCCGGCUUUGUUCCUUAAAUACAGGUGUGGCAAUGUGUUAGAUGAAUUAAAGAUGGAUUAGUAAUAACCAUUGUUAUCAAUAUCAGAAGUAGUUGGAUGAUCAAUUUCAUUGUUCUCAUUGCUAUCCAUUUCACGAUCCCUAGUUGCAGUAGCAAAGUUUUCUCCAAUGGCAGAUUGAAAUUUCUGGUUCUGACGAGAUACCAGGUUCUGUUUGUCACCAGACGAUACAUGACGCUUAUGUCGUUUUCGUCUAGGAGACUGUGUUAUUGUCCUUUUCAACAUCCUUAGGCUGCGACAGAGCAAGAACAAAACGUAUUGCGCUCAACUCAGAGAUGACCAUGUCCUUGGAGCAAGACAGAGACCCACGAGGCGCUUGAGAAUUCGCUGGACUACACAGAAGCUCUGGGGUAAACUUUGGGUUCUCAAUGGCGAUUGAGUCCUGGUUUAGCAUUCCUUGUUGUCUUAUUCUAUAGUUUUUCCAUGCCUUCUUAUUACAUGGUGCCCUAUUACGCAAUGCCUUUUGUUCCCUUGUUUGAGUUGCAAAUCGAGUUCUUUCUCGGAUUCUCUUACGUUCCCUUGCAUCUAAAACUUCUGAACUUGGAUUGGAAGCAUGUUGAUGACACGUUAGACCCGAUGCGCCUUAAAGUUGAAAGUAUAAAAGGUCUUAGGUGCUUAUAUAUACCAACUAAUGGUGCCAAUACCUAGAGUGUUAUCACACGGUAUAGUCAAAGAACAUAACAG
RNAcentral lists this long non-coding RNA (30910 nucleotides) under Zea mays. RNAcentral describes it as "long non-coding RNA (ZMAY_LNC000956)". The record is from RNAcentral. Lineage: Eukaryota; Viridiplantae; Streptophyta; Magnoliopsida; Poales; Poaceae.